This is a non-coding RNA of Anolis sagrei ordinatus, 2457 nucleotides long. The record is from RefSeq and is a predicted model, not a curated record. NCBI's taxonomy places the organism in Eukaryota, Metazoa, Chordata, Lepidosauria, Squamata, Anolidae.
UUAGACAUUAUUUGCACGCUGCAAGUUAAUGUAACAAAAUACCAGGAUCGAUUUAUAUACUGUCAUAUGGACUGUUUUAAAUUGAAUGUUUAUAAUGGUUUUAAUUGCUGUUUUAAUUGUAACUGUGUGCUUUAAUGUAUUGUUUGGCAUCUAAUGGUUGCCUAUUGUAAGCCGUCCUGAGUCCCUCUUUGGAGGUGAGAAGAACAGGAUAUAAAUGCUCGAAAUAAAUAAAGAAAUAGCAUCUAUAUAGGCCUAUGAUUCGUAAUUCUAAUUUUGACCAAGAAGUAUCUAUACGGAGUAAUCUACAGUGCUGUUUACCACUUUGCAGGAUAUGUUAUGGAUUUAAAAGCAGAUUUUGAUUGUGAAUUCGUUUUAUUUAAAGCAGGAAACACACUUGGGGCCUGGAUGCCUACUGAAGGUCCCACCACUGUAUCAAGUCUUGUGAUACGGUCCAAAGGGCAAUGGAUAGGUGUUGGAGUAGAUUAUCUAAUGUAUAGUCAACAUAUAUUUGGGACUUCUGUUUUAAGUAAUCUCAAAAACAUUAUAUUAUCAGAAGGAUGUUAGUUAUAUUCUUGAUGAUGAUGCCUAUAUAGUUUUUAUUACAGGGCUCAAUCCAUCAUAGAAGAAAUGUUGGACAUCACUCAUGACAAUUAAAAUGCAAUUUGGUAGUGUGCGGGCCCAGAACUCAAAGUUGGAGAUGCACCAAUGACCAUGCAAAGAACACCAUUAAAGGCAAGUAAUCUGGCCUUAUAACCUCAUAAUUUUAUCAGAAUAUAUUUCAACUGGUUGAAAGAGACAGAAGGAGCAUGUAGCAGUGACAGUGGUCUGUGGAAAGGGUUGCUAACAGAAUACAUUUUUAAAAGUGUAUAAUUUAACAGCUGGAUAACCUUUUCUUCUUCAAAGAACACUAUUGAUAAUGGAGAAUACAACAGGAAAUAAGUGUAGUGGCAUUUUCCCCAACAUUGCAAUUUUAGCAAGCAAAGUGAGAAAACACAGAACACUUCACAAAUACAUCAUGCGCUAAUAAAGAAAAGACGGUCAUUAGAAAAUCCAGUAAGAUGUUUGAGCCAAUUCCAGGGAUCCUCCAUAUUGGCUACAAAUAACUGUUUACCAUCAGAUACUGACCUCUCCAUUUUGUCUCUUUCUCCAUCAGAGAAGAAAUUUAAACCACCUAUACCUGAUAAAUCCCGAUGCAGGAAAUAUCUGGUAAUUUCAAAACAAUUCAUUGGCUGCACAGAAUGUUUGUAUCCAUUCUGAGAAGUGUCCCCUUGAUAGAGGAAGAAUCCUGGUGACUCAAUGAUGAUCUUGGCAUCCUCUGAAGAUCUUGGCAUCCACUGAAGAUGCCAGCCACAGAUGCAGGUGAAACAUCAGGAUAAAAUACUGCUAGAACAUGGCCAUACAGACUGGAAACUACACAACACCCCAUCUUGGAAGUUGUUUAAAUUUUGAAAAAGCCAUUUAUAUCCAGGUUUGAAAAAUCACUGAUUUGACUUCGGUGCUUUCAGACAGAGGGCUCCUAGUAUUACAAUUCAAAUGGUAUUGUGGAACCAUUAUAGUUUCUUCCCUUCAGUGGCUUGUUUUUGUGGAAAGAAAACUGAUAGAAGAACUGAUGAAGAAAUACAAGAGGUUUACAAAUGGAAGAGGGUUAUCAGUUGAAUUCCUUGCAAAGUUCCAUCAUAGAGCAAAGCAAUUCAUGAUUUUUAGAACUCCUCAUGUUCAAGCACUCUUAGAAUAAUUAAAAACAAUCUAUGGUAUUUUUUUGGAAUCAUUAUUACAAACUUAUGUGGAAAUUGUUUUCAUAACUUCUGAUAAAAGGGAAACCUUUACCAUUUUUAAAAGAGGUCUUCCUAUUCAAUAUAAUAAAAAAACUUUUUGAAAAUUUGUAAAAUUGAAGUUACAAAAACAACUUCUAUACAAUAUUAUAAUGCUAUAAAUCAUUUAAAAAAAGAAAACACCAAUUAGCCUGAAAUGUAAGAUCUGAAAACUAAGCAAAUGUCAUUUCUAAUUAAAAAUUUGAAUUUUCCACAUGCAGCAUUCUUUCUGGUACCAAAACCAGCAUUAAAAAAUAAAAUUUGGAAAAACUUAAUCCCUGUUAGGACUUUCUGCAGAGUUCACUUUGAGUCUUACAUACAUUUUUCAAGUGCCCCCAAGCCAUAAGUCUCAUAUCAUACCAAGCAGUUAAUUAACUAUAGAGAAUUGCUGGUUGAACCCAGGUUACCUACAUAUUGAGCAGAAAGGAAGACGCACACACAGUAUGCAUAAUCACUUUUCCUGUUUUCCAGUUUUCACUGUACACAAAACCAUAUACCAAAAGGCAAUCAUUCUAACAUGAGUUUGCAUGAACUAGAGCCCACUUCACUGAAUGCAUCCACAGGUGGAGGAAGAGAAAGACAAUAAGUGGUUGUCUUCACACAAAAAGAAAGAAAGAAAGAAAGAAAGAAAGAAAGAAAGAAAGAA